CAUUAGGUGACUGAAAGCAAGUAAUGGUCUCUUAAACCUUAAAAUAGUAAGUUAGCAACUACUCCUGAUG
RNAcentral lists this transfer RNA (70 nucleotides) under Formicomus sp. FOR01. RNAcentral's name for it is "tRNA-Lys". The record is from RNAcentral. Lineage: Eukaryota; Metazoa; Arthropoda; Insecta; Coleoptera; Anthicidae.